This 312-nucleotide long non-coding RNA is filed under the name Elaeis guineensis (African oil palm). Its description in RNAcentral is "long non-coding RNA (EGUI_LNC059955)". The record is from RNAcentral. Lineage: Eukaryota; Viridiplantae; Streptophyta; Magnoliopsida; Arecales; Arecaceae.
UUUAAUUCUUUUCAAGAUAGCUCUUUGCCACCUAAAAUUAGUUUCCAUAUCAGAUCUUUGUGCCAAGAAACACUAAGAAGAAUCUGGGUGUAUCGGGUGUUUCUUGUUGUGUCCAACAUUGUUACCAACUUCAACCUACUGUAGCCACCUCAUCUGGAAUCCAAAUUUAAUUCUGUAAAUUAUGUUCUUUUCUUGCUUCUCUCAAAAUUCUGUAGGAUCUAAUCUUGCUCAAUUUGGAGUCCUGUAUCUUGCCUUUUAGGGGUCCUCACACCAAAAUAUCCAGAAUUUAGAUUGGUUGACUAGAUGGGAGAG